This 593-nucleotide ribosomal RNA is filed under the name uncultured eukaryote. RNAcentral's name for it is "eukaryotic LSU rRNA". The stretch from base 195 to 348 matches the Rfam family "5.8S ribosomal RNA". The record is from RNAcentral.
UUCCGUAGGUGAACCUGCGGAAGGAUCAAUUAUACGAAUCAACAACCAAAACCCCAACCCUACUGUGUGCUAUGGCCUUACAGCCAUAGCACAGGCGGUGGACUCGCGCAAGCUCCGCUUGUUAGCGCUCCAUCAUUUCUCACCCAUGUUUUUUACUCCUUUUAUUUUUUCGAAAGAGAUUGAAAUCACUUUACAACUUUUAGCGAUGGAUGUCUCGGCUCAGGCAACGAUGAAGGACGCCGCUAAAUGCGAUAAGCGCUGUGAAUGGCAGAAUUCCGCGAAUCAAGAGAAUGUUGAACGCAUACUGCACUUCGAGCUUACGCUCGAAGUAUGUCUGGUUCAGGGCUGUUAGCACCUCAUGUUGCCAACGAUGCAGUGGUUUCCGCUGCUACUUGGUAUACGUUCGUGUGCGCCAGCGACGGGAUCCUUUGGAUGAACCGGUGGCGCAUGAAAUAUACGAACCACGAUGGUCAGUGUAAUCACGCUUUGUGUUAACUCCGGUUUUCUGAGCUUGCUGUCACUGCCACGGGUUUUGAAGCCUUUUUUUUUGGCAUGAACUCAGACAGGGCUACCCGCUGAAUUUAAGCAUAUCA